GAUGAACGCUGGCGGCGUGCUUAACACAUGCAAGUCGAACGAGAAGUGCAGACGGAAACCCUCGGGCGGAAGGCAUGAGUUCGAGUGGCGGACGGGGGAGUAACUCGCGGGUAACCUGCCGCAUACAGGGGGAUAACAGUUGGAAACGACAGGUAAUACCGCAUAAGGCCACAGCACCGCAGGGUGCGGUGGUAAAAACUCCGAAGGUCUGGGAUGGACCCGCGUUCGAUUAGCCAGUUGGGGGGGUAAAGGCCCACCAAGGCGACGAUCGAUAGCCGAUCUGAGAGGAUGACCGGCCACACUGGGACUGAGACACGGCCCAGACUCCUACGGGAGGCAGCAGUGGGGAAUAUUGCACAAUGGGCGAAAGCCUGAUGCAGCGACGCCGCGUGAGUGAUGAAGUCUUUCGGGUUGUAAAGCUCUAUCAGCCGGGAAGAUAAUGACGGUACCGGAGUAAUAAGCUCCGGCUAACUCCGUG
This 478-nucleotide ribosomal RNA is filed under the name uncultured bacterium. Its description in RNAcentral is "partial 16S ribosomal RNA". It matches the Rfam family "Bacterial small subunit ribosomal RNA", at positions 28 to 507 of the family's 1533-position model. The record is from RNAcentral.